AGCGCAGGCGGGAAGACAAGUCAGCUGUGAAAAACUAUGGGCUUAACCCAUAGAGUGCAGUUGAAACUGUUUUUUCUUGAGUGGAGUAGAGGCAGGCGGAAUUCCGAGUGUAGCGGUGAAAUGCGUAGAUAUUCGGAGGAACACCAGUGGCGAAGGCGGCCUGCUGGGCUUUAACUGACGCUGAGGCUCGAAAGUGUGGGGAGCAAACAG
RNAcentral lists this ribosomal RNA (210 nucleotides) under uncultured bacterium. RNAcentral's name for it is "partial 16S ribosomal RNA". It matches the Rfam family "Bacterial small subunit ribosomal RNA", at positions 568 to 775 of the family's 1533-position model. The record is from RNAcentral.